Molecule: ribosomal RNA, 228 nt
Filed under: uncultured bacterium
Lineage: Bacteria
Description: partial 16S ribosomal RNA
Rfam family: Bacterial small subunit ribosomal RNA
Source: RNAcentral
UGCUUGGGAAUAUGCCGAGUGGUGGGGGACAACAGUUGGAAACGACUGCUAAUACCGCAUAAUGUCUACGGACCAAAGGGGGGGGCUUCACUUUUAGGAGUGGACCUCCCGCCAUUUGAUUAGCCCAAGUGAGAUUAGCUAGUAGGUGAGGUAAUGGCUCACCUAGGCGACGAUCUCUAGCUGGUUUGAGAGGAUGAUCAGCCACACUGGGACUGAGACACGGACCAG